GAGUUUGAUCGUGGCUCAGAGUGAACGCUGGCGGUAGGCCUAACACAUGCAAGUCGAACGGUAACAGGUCUUUCGGGAUGCUGACGAGUGGCGGACGGGUGAGGAAUACAUCGGAAUCUGCUCAGUCGUGGGGGAUAACGCAUGGAAACGUGCGCUAAUACCGCAUACGACCUUCGGGUGAAAGCAGGGGAAUCUCUCGGGAUCCCUGCGCGAUUGAAUGAGCCGAUGUCGGAUUAGCUAGUUGGUAGGGUAAAAGCCUACCAAGGCCACGAUCCGUAGCUGGUCUGAGAAGAUGAUCAGCCACACUGGGACUGAGACACGGCCCAGACUCCUGCGGGAGGCAGCAGUGGGGAAUAUUGGACAAUGGGGGCAACCCUGAUCCAGCCAUACCGCGUGGGUGAAGAAGGCCUUCUGGGUUGUAAAGCCCUUUUGUUGGGGAAGAAAAACAACGGGUUAAUACCCCGUUGGUAUGACGGUACCCAAAGAAUAAGCACCGGCUAACUUCGUGCCAGCAGCCGCGGUAAUACGAAGGGUGCAAGCGUUACUCGGAAUUACUGGGCGUAAAGGGUGCGUAGGUGGUUGCGCCAGUCUGUCGUGAAAGCCCUGGGCUUAACCUGGGAAUGGCGAUGGAAACUGUGCAACUAGAGUGUGACAGAGGGUGGUGGAAUUCCUGGUGUAGCAGUGAAAUGCGUAGAGAUCAGGAGGAACAUUCGUGGCGAAGGCGGCCACCUGGGUCAACACUGACACUGAGGCACGAAAGCGUGGGGAGCAAACAGGAUUAGAUACCCUGGUAGUCCACGCCCUAAACGAUGCGAACUGGAUGUUGGGUCCAACUUGGGAUUCAGUAUCGAAGCUAACGCGUUAAGUUCGCCGCCUGGGGAGUACGGUCGCAAGACUGAAACUCAAAGGAAUUGACGGGGGCCCGCACAAGCGGUGGAGUAUGUGGUUUAAUUCGAUGCAACGCGCAGAACCUUACCUGGCCUUGACAUGCACGGA
RNAcentral lists this ribosomal RNA (996 nucleotides) under uncultured Lysobacterales bacterium. RNAcentral's name for it is "bacterial SSU rRNA". It matches the Rfam family "Bacterial small subunit ribosomal RNA", at positions 9 to 994 of the family's 1533-position model. The record is from RNAcentral. Lineage: Bacteria; Pseudomonadati; Pseudomonadota; Gammaproteobacteria; Lysobacterales.